This 253-nucleotide ribosomal RNA is filed under the name uncultured bacterium. RNAcentral describes it as "partial 16S ribosomal RNA". It matches the Rfam family "Bacterial small subunit ribosomal RNA", at positions 524 to 776 of the family's 1533-position model. The record is from RNAcentral.
GACGAACCGUGCGAACGUUGUUCGGAAUCACUGGGCUUAAAGGGCGCGUAGGCGGUCGGUCAAGUCCGGGGUGAAAUCCUGCAGCUUAACUGUAGAAGUGCCUUGGAUACUGGCUGGCUCGAGGGAGGUAGGGGUCUGUGGAACUUCUGGUGGAGCGGUGAAAUGCGUUGAUAUCAGAAGGAACGCCGGUGGCGAAAGCGACGGACUGGACCUCUUCUGACGCUGAGGCGCGAAAGCUAGGGGAGCAAACGGG